CAUGUCUUUUUGAUUUUAAUUUAAAGUCUGACCUGCCCAAUGAUUUUUUGAAUGGCCGCAGUAUUUUGACUGUGCAAAGGUAGCAUAAUCAUUAGUUUUUUAAAUGGAAGCUGGAAUGAAUGGUUUGAUGAGAAAAAAGCUGUCUCUUUAUCAAUGUUUUAGAAUUUUAUUUUUGAGUUAAAAAGCUUAAAUUUAAUAGAAAGACGAGAAGACCCUAUAGAGUUUUAUACUAAUUUAUUUAAAGAAUUUUUAGGGUUAUAUUUAUUUUUUAUUUAAGUAGUAUUUUGUUGGGGUGACAUAAAAAUUUAAUAAACUUUUUAUUUAUUAUUACAUGAAUUAAUGAUUGAUUGAUCCUAAUUUUUAGAUUAAAAGAAAAAAUUACCUUAGGGAUAACAGCGUAAUUUUUUUUUGAGAGUUCUAAUCGAAAAAAGAGAUUGCGACCUCGAUGUUGGAUUAAAGUUAAAUUUUGGUGUAGAAGCUAAAAGAUUAGGUCUGUUCGACCUUUAAAACU
This 511-nucleotide ribosomal RNA is filed under the name Monommidae sp. UPOL ZL0110. RNAcentral describes it as "partial 16S ribosomal RNA". It matches the Rfam family "Bacterial large subunit ribosomal RNA", at positions 1816 to 2595 of the family's 2925-position model. Lineage: Eukaryota; Metazoa; Arthropoda; Insecta; Coleoptera; Monommidae. The record is from RNAcentral.